AGUGAACGCUGGCGGUAGGCCUAACACAUGCAAGUCGAACGGCAGCACAGUAAGAGCUUGCUCUUACGGGUGGCGAGUGGCGGACGGGUGAGGAAUACAUCGGAAUCUACUUUUUCGUGGGGGAUAACGUAGGGAAACUUACGCUAAUACCGCAUACGACCUACGGGUGAAAGCAGGGGAUCUUCGGACCUUGCGCGAUUGAAUGAGCCGAUGUCGGAUUAGCUAGUUGGCGGGGUAAAGGCCCACCAAGGCGACGAUCCGUAGCUGGUCUGAGAGGAUGAUCGGCCACAUGGGAACGUAGACACGGGCCAGACUCCUACGGGGGGCAGCAGGGGGGAAUAUUGGAAAAGGGGCGCAAGCCUGAACCAGCCAUACCGGGGGGGUGAAGAAGGCCUUCGGGUUGUAAAGCCCUUUUGUUGGGAAAAAAAAGCAGCAGGUUAAUCCCCCGCUGUUCUGGCGGUACCAAAAGAAUAAGCACCGGCUAACUUCGU
RNAcentral lists this ribosomal RNA (491 nucleotides) under uncultured bacterium. RNAcentral describes it as "partial 16S ribosomal RNA". It matches the Rfam family "Bacterial small subunit ribosomal RNA", at positions 29 to 506 of the family's 1533-position model. The record is from RNAcentral.